CAAGUCGAACGCGAAAGUCCCGCAAGGGAUAAGUAGAGUGGCAAACGGGUGAGUAACGCGUGGGUGACCUGCCUUCGAGCGGGGGAUAACGUUUCGAAAGGAACGCUAAUACCGCAUGACAUCCUGCUCUUGAAUGAGUGGAGAUCAAAGCCAGGGAUCGCAAGACCUGGCACUCGAAGAGGGGCCCGCGUCUGAUUAGCUAGUUGGUGAGGUAACGGCUCACCAAGGCAACGAUCAGUAUCCGGCCUGAGAGGGCGGACGGACACACUGGGACUGAGACACGGCCCAGACUCCUACGGGAGGCAGCAGUGGGGAAUUGUUCGCAAUGGGCGCAAGCCUGACGACGCAACGCCGCGUGGAGGAUGAAGAUUUUCGGAUCGUAAACUCCUGUCGAAUGGGACGAAAGAGUUGCGGGUUAACAGCCCGUAGCUGUGACGGUACCGUUAAAGGAAACCCCGGCUAACUCCGUGCCAGCAGCCGCGGUAAUACGGGGGGGGUAAGCGUUGUUCGGAAUUACUGGGCGUAAAGGGCUCGUAGGCGGCCAACUAAGUCAGACGUGAAAUCCCUCAGCUUAACUGGGGAACUGCGUCUGAUACUGGAUGGCUUGGAUUUGGGAGAGGAAUGCGGAAUUCCAGGUGUAGCGGUGAAAUGCGUAGAUAUCUGGAGGAACACCGGUGGCGAAGGCGGCAUUCUGGACCAAUAUUGACGCUGAGGAGCGAAAGCCAGGGGAGCAAACGGGAUUAGAUACCCCGGUAGUCCUGGCCCUAAACGAUGAAUGCUUGGUGUGGCGGGUAUCGAUCCCUGCCGUGCCGAAGCUAACGCAUUAAGCAUUCCGCCUGGGGAGU
RNAcentral lists this ribosomal RNA (845 nucleotides) under uncultured Pseudomonadota bacterium. RNAcentral describes it as "bacterial SSU rRNA". It matches the Rfam family "Bacterial small subunit ribosomal RNA", at positions 58 to 881 of the family's 1533-position model. The record is from RNAcentral. Lineage: Bacteria; Pseudomonadati; Pseudomonadota.